RNAcentral lists this unclassified non-coding RNA (222 nucleotides) under Microdochium sp. RNAcentral describes it as "partial contains small subunit ribosomal RNA, internal transcribed spacer 1, and 5.8S ribosomal RNA". The stretch from base 1 to 46 matches the Rfam family "Eukaryotic small subunit ribosomal RNA", at positions 1786 to 1831 of the family's 1831-position model. Lineage: Eukaryota; Fungi; Ascomycota; Sordariomycetes; Xylariales; Microdochiaceae. RNAcentral also lists the same sequence under 1 other name. The record is from RNAcentral.
AAGUCGUAACAAGGUCUCCGUAGGUGAACCUGCGGAGGGAUCAUUACUGAGUUUUCAACUCUCCAAACCAUGUGAACUUACCACUGUUGCCUCGGUGGACUGGUGCCUUCUCUCGGGAAGGUGCUGCCGCCGGCGGACUACUAAACUCUUGUUAAUUUUUGGCAUUCUGAAUCAUAACUAAGAAAUAAGUUAAAACUUUCAACAACGGAUCUCUUGGUUCUG